Molecule: ribosomal RNA, 230 nt
Filed under: uncultured Alicycliphilus sp.
Lineage: Bacteria; Pseudomonadati; Pseudomonadota; Betaproteobacteria; Burkholderiales; Comamonadaceae
Description: partial 16S ribosomal RNA
Rfam family: Bacterial small subunit ribosomal RNA
Source: RNAcentral
AGAGAUGCAUUGGGUGUAAAGUGUGCGCAGGCGGUUUUGUAAGACAGAGGUGAAAUCCCCGGGCUCAACCUGGGAACUGCCUUUGUGACUGCAAGGCUGGAGUGCGGCAGAGGGGGAUGGAAUUCCGCGUGUAGCAGUGAAAUGCGUAGAUAUGCGGAGGAACACCGAUGGCGAAGGCAAUCCCUUGGGCCUGCACUGACGCCCAUGCACGAAAGCGUGGGGAGCAAACA